CAGCAGCCACGGUAAUACAGAGGGUGCGAGCGUUAAUCGGAUUUACUGGGCGUAAAGCGUGCGUAGGCGGCUUCUUAAGUCGGAUGUGAAAUCCCUGAGCUUAACUUAGGAAUUGCAUUCGAUACUGGGAAGCUAUAGUAUGGGAGAGGAUGGUAGAAUUCCAGGUGUAGCGGUGAAAUGCGUAGAGAUCUGGAGGAAUACCGAUGGCGAAGGCAGCCAUCUGGCCUAAUACUGACGCUGAGGUACGAAAGCAUGGGGAGCAAACAGGAUUAGAUACCCGUGUAGUCCCUGUCUCUUAUAA
This 301-nucleotide ribosomal RNA is filed under the name uncultured bacterium. RNAcentral's name for it is "partial 16S ribosomal RNA". It matches the Rfam family "Bacterial small subunit ribosomal RNA", at positions 509 to 809 of the family's 1533-position model. The record is from RNAcentral.